CAGAUCCAGCACAAACUGAAGACAGUUGGACUGUUGGAUCAAUAUUCAGAGUGAUUGUGAUUAUUGUUGAGUUUGCAGUGUUUGCUGCUCCUACUGUGAUUCUUCUUCAGAUCAUCUGUGCAAGAAGAGCUGGGAGGAAGAACUUACAGCACUGAGAGGAAAUAGUGAAUAAAAUACUCUCUACUAAUAAAAGGCCAAAUUACAGCAAAAAUGUAUCUUCAUCUCAGUGAUGUUAUGAAUAUUUGCAUGCAGCUUUCAAGGAUAUUUGUUUAUACAUAUAAUAUUGCCAUUUUCUAAACUUGAUUCAUCUGAUCGUUACAUUAAACUUUUUAAGACUUUUUACAUGUUGUAAUAGUUGAUUUUAACUGAUGGUGUGACAUGUCUGUUAAUUAUCAUACAACAUAUUUACAGAUGUAUCUUAAUGUUUUUAUUAAUUCACUGAUCAUUUCAAUUCAUAGAC
Molecule: long non-coding RNA, 460 nt
Organism: Labeo rohita (rohu)
Lineage: Eukaryota; Metazoa; Chordata; Actinopteri; Cypriniformes; Cyprinidae
Exons: 3
Source: RefSeq, a predicted model, not a curated record